Molecule: signal recognition particle RNA, 299 nt
Filed under: Cebus imitator (Panamanian white-faced capuchin)
Lineage: Eukaryota; Metazoa; Chordata; Mammalia; Primates; Cebidae
Description: Metazoan signal recognition particle RNA (ENSCCAG00000008369.1)
Rfam family: Metazoan signal recognition particle RNA
About the family: The signal recognition particle (SRP) is a universally conserved ribonucleoprotein. It is involved in the co-translational targeting of proteins to membranes. The eukaryotic SRP consists of a 300-nucleotide 7S RNA and six proteins: SRPs 72, 68, 54, 19, 14, and 9.
Source: RNAcentral
GCUGGGUGCGGUGGUGCGUGCCUGUAGUCCCAGCUACUCAGGAGACUGAGAUGGGAGAAUCACUUGAUCCCAGGAGCUCUGGGCUGUAGUGCGCUAUGCCGACUGGGUGUCCGCACUAAGUUCGGCAUCAAUAUGGUGACCUCCUGGGAGCGGGGGACCACCAGGUUGCCUAAGGAGGGGUGAACCGGCCCAGGUCAGAAACAGAGAAGGUCAAGACUCCCAUGCUGAUCAGUAGUGGGAUUGUGCCUGUGAAUAGCCACUGCACUCCAGCCUGGGCAACAUAGCAAGACCCAGUCUCU